UCUGGUGUCAAUGAUGACUGAAACACUUUUUCCCCAGCAGAUGACAAUGUUGCUGUUCGGUACUUUAGCCAAACUUUGUCUGAUGCACCAGA
This 92-nucleotide small nucleolar RNA is filed under the name Felis catus (domestic cat). Its description in RNAcentral is "Small nucleolar SNORD12/SNORD106 (ENSFCAG00000047497.1)". It matches the Rfam family "Small nucleolar SNORD12/SNORD106". Rfam says of the family: This family belong to the C/D class of snoRNA which contain the C (UGAUGA) and D (CUGA) box motifs. Lineage: Eukaryota; Metazoa; Chordata; Mammalia; Carnivora; Felidae. The record is from RNAcentral.